GAGGAAUAUUGGUCAAUGGGCGGAAGCCUGAACCAGCCAAGUAGCGUGCAGGAAGACGGCCCUAUGGGUUGUAAACUGCUUUUAUACGAGAAUAAUUUGAUGCACGUGUGCGUUAUUGCAUGUAUCGUAUGAAUAAGGACCGGCUAAUUCCGUGCCAGCAGCCGCGGUAAUACGGAAGGUCCAGGCGUUAUCCGGAUUUAUUGGGUUUAAAGGGAGUGUAGGCGGUUUGUUAAGCGUGUUGUGAAAUUUAGGUGCUCAACAUUUAACUUGCAGCGCGAACUGUCAGACUUGAGUACACGCAACGUAUGCGGAAUUCAUGGUGUAGCGGUGAAAUGCUUAGAUAUCAUGAAGAACUCCGAUUGCGAAGGCAGCAUACGGGAGUGUAACUGACGCUUAAGCUCGAAGGUGCGGGUAUCGAACAGGAUUAGAUACCCUGGUAGUCCGCACAGUAAACGAUGGAUGCCCGCUGUUAGCGCCUGGCGUUAGCGGCUAAGCGAAAGCAUUAAGCAUCCCACCUGGGGAGUACGCCGGCAACGGUG
RNAcentral lists this ribosomal RNA (539 nucleotides) under uncultured bacterium. RNAcentral's name for it is "bacterial SSU rRNA". It matches the Rfam family "Bacterial small subunit ribosomal RNA", at positions 356 to 896 of the family's 1533-position model. The record is from RNAcentral.